CCAAAAGAGCGAGAAAUCGCUUUCUACUGCCUGUUAGGUGGCCCUCCUGGGCUGCUGACCUGGUCAACCCUUUGUGAACCAAAAAAGCCUUUCGCUUCGGCAGCUGGGCCUGACCGCCUGUCAGCCUGCCGCUAGCACCAACCUCAAAACCUGUUGUCAAACAUUGUCUGAUAACCAAAAUUUUCGAAUGAAAAUCA
Molecule: unclassified non-coding RNA, 197 nt
Filed under: soil metagenome
Description: partial internal transcribed spacer 1
Source: RNAcentral